UGGUAAGGUAACGGCUUACCAAGACGAUGAUGGGUAGGGGUCCUGAGAGGGAGAUCCCCCACACUGGUACUGAGACACGGACCAGACUCCUACGGGAGGCAGCAGUGAGGAAUAUUGGACAAUGGGCGCAAGCCUGAUCCAGCCAUGCCGCGUGCAGGAAGACGGCCCUAUGGGUUGUAAACUGCUUUUAUACAGGAAGAAACACUCCCUCGUGAGGGAGCUUGACGGUACUGUAGGAAUAAGGAUCGGCUAACUCCGUGCCAGCAGCCGCGGUAAUACGGAGGAUCCAAGCGUUAUCCGGAAUCAUUGGGUUUAAAGGGUCCGUAGGCGGCCUUAUAAGUCAGUGGUGAAAUCUCCUAGCUCAACUAGGAAACUGCCAUUGAUACUGUAGGGCUUGAAUUUUUGUGAAGUAACUAGAAUAUGUAGUGUAGCGGUGAAAUGCUUAGAUAUUACAUGG
RNAcentral lists this ribosomal RNA (457 nucleotides) under Flavobacteriaceae bacterium 06-027348. Its description in RNAcentral is "bacterial SSU rRNA". It matches the Rfam family "Bacterial small subunit ribosomal RNA", at positions 250 to 704 of the family's 1533-position model. The record is from RNAcentral. Lineage: Bacteria; Pseudomonadati; Bacteroidota; Flavobacteriia; Flavobacteriales; Flavobacteriaceae.